Long non-coding RNA from Cloeon dipterum, 420 nucleotides. RefSeq lists it as uncharacterized. The transcript is spliced from 2 exons. Lineage: Eukaryota; Metazoa; Arthropoda; Insecta; Ephemeroptera; Baetidae. The record is from RefSeq and is a predicted model, not a curated record.
GAGACUUACACUUAACUUACACAUUCCAUGCAAGUGCGUGCAUGCAUGUGCAGCCGCCGCUACCACGCGCACACUAAAAUCGCCCUUUUAAAUCCUGCUUCGCUCUCUUUGCCUAACGCGUCAACGGUCAAGGUCAAACGCCGUUCAAAGUUAAAGUUAUUAACGGACGCAGGACGCUGGACGCCGCCAGUAAGGGACAACACGGACGUCCCGCGGACUCGGACGGAUGGCCUGGAUCCAGCGGUUAACAAGCUUCAAGAGCCUUCCGGUGACAUUUUGCACGACGAAAAAAGAUGCAAUCGUUAAAGUUCUGCAGUUUGGGCUUCCAGAUAGGCAGUGCUGGCAUCGUAUGAUAUAAAAUUUUGUAGCUAUAAUUAUGUGAUAUGAUUGAUAACUAAUAAAUAAUGCAUAUUUUUAAAA